UACGUAGGGAGCAAGCGUUAUCCGGAUUUACUGGGUGUAAAGGGCGCGUAGGCGGGAUGGCAAGUCAGAUGUGAAAUCCAGGGGCUCAACCCCUGAACUGCAUUUGAAACUGUCGUUCUUGAGUACUGGAGAGGUUGACGGAAUUCCUAGUGUAGCGGUGAAAUGCGUAGAUAUCAGGAGGAACACCGGCGGCGAAGGCGGCCUGCUGGACUGCGACUGACGUUGAGGCUCGAAAGCGUGGGGAGCGAACAGG
RNAcentral lists this ribosomal RNA (253 nucleotides) under uncultured bacterium. RNAcentral describes it as "partial 16S ribosomal RNA". It matches the Rfam family "Bacterial small subunit ribosomal RNA", at positions 524 to 776 of the family's 1533-position model. The record is from RNAcentral.